Non-coding RNA from Thunnus maccoyii (southern bluefin tuna), 1238 nucleotides. NCBI's taxonomy places the organism in Eukaryota, Metazoa, Chordata, Actinopteri, Scombriformes, Scombridae. The record is from the annotation of a RefSeq genome assembly.
CCCAAUCAGCUUGAUGCUGAGGAGAAGGGCUGUGCAGCAGAGAGGCUGUUUAGUUUCUUCAUUCUACUGCAGUGGAAGAACAUUGAUCAUCUGCUGUCUGUUUGGUUUCAACAACUCCAAAGACAUGUUGCUUUACCUCUUUAUACUUUUAUCUCACAUUAUAGCCAUGGGUUCCAUGAACAGCAUAAAACCAGAAAAUACUGAAGAACGUGUUGCAGAGGGAGGAAACAUCAACCUGACCUGUAAAUAUGAGGGUUCUAUCAGCAAUAUCCAGUGGUACCAACAAUACCAGAGAUCCAGACCAGAGUUCCUGCUCUACAUCACAGAGGACGGAUCGAUUCAUCCAACUGUUUCUGUUUUCUCAGCUCACAUUAACAAAACAGAGAAAAGUGUUGAUCUGCAGAUCUCCUCUGCUGCAGUGACAGACUCUGCUCUGUACUACUGUGCUGUGAGGCCCACAGUGACAGGAAACCCACAGUCUCUGUACAAAAACCUGACAGCUCCUCAAUGAACAUUUACACACUUCAACUACUCUUUGUGUUGAACUUCACUGCCAUCAAGUGGACAGAGAGUGCACUUACAUGUGCACCAGUAUCCUGGUUGUGAUGGUGUUUUUAGAGAUUCCCAUUUAGUAUUGCACAAGUAAACAUUGUAUCCUGGUUUUAGAAACCUGGAAAUGUUACCUGAAGUAAAACUAGGGAAGUGUAGCAUGUAAACAUCUGUUCCAGAUUUGUUAAUAUUCUCUGUUGGUAGAGAAAUUAGGCUGGGAUGUUGAGGAAUUAGGACACAACUGGACACACAUGAUCAGAAAUCAGUAUCCUGUUAGAAUCAUGUAUACAGGGAUAUGUAUAACCAGGUUUCUAAUGUUCCAUGUAACCGUCAUAUCCUGAAUAUGAUCAAAAGCCGGAUAAGACUCAGAACUGAAUACUAAUGUGUGAUUAGAUACAGCUUCAGUUCACACAGGUGUUUCUCACUGGUGUUGUACUGUAAUGAGACACUGAUCCAACCACAGCCGACAACCUGGUGGAAUCAGGUUAUAAUUGGAAAAUAAAUUAUAUCAGACAUUAAUUUUAAAGUUCAAGUUUUAACUCCUUUAACUGACAUAGUCAGCUUUCACAAUGUAAAAAGAUUAUGCGAAAAUGACAAGUCUUCUAUCUAAUUUCUAAUUUUAAGAGACUCGUUAGCACAAUAUACCAUUUUGGACAUCUUUUUUGGACAGGUAUGCCUGUUUUUUGCUG